GAUGAACGCUGGCGGCGUGCCUAAUACAUGCAAGUCGAGCGAACAGACGAGGAGCUUGCUCCUCUGACGUUAGCGGCGGACGGGUGAGUAACACGUGGAUAACCUACCUAUAAGACUGGGAUAACUUCGGGAAACCGGAGCUAAUAUCGGAUAAUAUAUUGAACCGCAUGGUUCAAUAGUGAAAGACGGUUUUGCUGUCGCUUAUAGAUGGAUCCGCGCCGCAUUAGCUAGUUGGUAAGGUAACGGCUUACCAAGGCAACGAUGCGUAGCCGACCUGAGAGGGUGAUCGGCCACACUGGAACUGAGACACGGUCCAGACUCCUACGGGAGGCAGCAGUAGGGAAUCUUCCGCAAUGGGCGAAAGCUUGACGGAGCAACGCCGCGUGAGUGAUGAAGGUCUUCGGAUCGUAAAACUCUGUUAUUAGGGAAGAACAAAUGUGUAAGUAACUAUGCACGUCUUGACGGUACCUAAUCAGAAAGCCACGGCUAACUACGCG
This 497-nucleotide ribosomal RNA is filed under the name uncultured bacterium. RNAcentral's name for it is "partial 16S ribosomal RNA". It matches the Rfam family "Bacterial small subunit ribosomal RNA", at positions 28 to 507 of the family's 1533-position model. The record is from RNAcentral.